Molecule: non-coding RNA, 73 nt
Organism: Henosepilachna vigintioctopunctata
Lineage: Eukaryota; Metazoa; Arthropoda; Insecta; Coleoptera; Coccinellidae
Source: the annotation of a GenBank genome assembly
GCCUCCGUGGCUUAGUCGGGAAAACAUGCGACUAUGGUGCGGUAAGACUCGGGUUCGAGCCAUGGUGAAGGCA